GGAGGAUCAUUAAAUAAUCAAUAAUUUUGGCUUGUCCAUCAUUAUCUAUUUACUGUGAAUCGUAUUAUUACUUGACGCCUGAGGGAUGUUCCAUUGCUAUAAGGAUAGGCAUUGGAAAUGUUAACCGAGUCAUAAUCAAGCUUAGGCUUGGUAUCCUAUUAUUAUUUACCAAAAGAAUUCAGAAUUAAUAUUGUAACAUAGACGUAAAAAAUCUAUAAAACAACUUUUAACAACGGAUCUCUUGGUUCUCGCAUCGAUGAAGAACGUAGCAAAGUGCGAUAACUAGUGUGAAUUGCAUAUUCAGUGAAUCAUCGAGUCUUUGAACGCAACUUGCGCUCAUUGGUAUUCCAAUGAGCACGCCUGUUUCAGUAUCAAAACAAACCCUCUAUCCAACUUUUGUUGAAUAGGAUGACUGAGAGUCUCUUGAUCUUUCGAUCUCGAACCUCUUGAAAUGUACAAAGGCCUGAUCUUGUUUGAAUGCCUGAACUUUUUUUUAAUAUAAAGAGAAGCUCUUGCGAUAAACUGUGCUGGGGCCUCCCAAAUAACACUCUUUUAAAUUUGAUCUGAAAUCAGGUGGGAUUACCCGCUGAACUUAAGCA
Molecule: ribosomal RNA, 599 nt
Filed under: Mucor sp. KBS0823F
Lineage: Eukaryota; Fungi; Mucoromycota; Mucoromycetes; Mucorales; Mucoraceae
Description: eukaryotic LSU rRNA
Rfam family: 5.8S ribosomal RNA (bases 222-374)
Source: RNAcentral